Non-coding RNA from Salmo salar (Atlantic salmon), 54 nucleotides. The record is from Rfam. Lineage: Eukaryota; Metazoa; Chordata; Actinopteri; Salmoniformes; Salmonidae.
UGCAUUAACUACUGUAAGUUGCUCUGGAUAAGAGCGUCUGCUAAAUUACUAAAA